This 253-nucleotide ribosomal RNA is filed under the name uncultured bacterium. RNAcentral describes it as "partial 16S ribosomal RNA". It matches the Rfam family "Bacterial small subunit ribosomal RNA", at positions 524 to 776 of the family's 1533-position model. The record is from RNAcentral.
UACGUAGGGUGCGAGCGUUGUCCGGAAUUAUUGGGCGUAAAGAGCUCGUAGGCGGCCUGUCGCGUCGGAUGUGAAAGCCCUCGGCUCAACUGAGGAAGUGCAUCCGAAACUGGCAGGCUAGAGUACUAAAGAGGGUCGCGGAAUUCCCGGUGUAGAGGUGAAAUUCGUAGAUAUCGGGAGGAACACCGGUGGCGAAGGCGGCGACCUGGGUAGAUACUGACGCUGAGGUGCGAAAGCGUGGGGAGCAAACAGG